GACGAACGCUGGCGGCAUGCCUAAUACAUGCAAGUCGGACGGAUAUGUUUAAAAGACAUAUCAGUGGCGAACGGGUGAGUAACACGUAAGUGACCUACCUGUACGACGAGGAUAACUACUGGAAACGGUAGCUAAUACUGGAUAGGAUAUAUACCAUAAGGGUAUAUAUUUAAAGGUCCUAAGGGACCGCGUACAGAAGGGCUUGCGGCGCAUUAGCUAGUUGGUGGGGUAAAGGCCUACCAAGGCGACGAUGCGUAGCCGACCUGAGAGGGUGACCGGCCACACUGGGACUGAGAGACGGCCCAGACUCCUACGGGAGGCAGCAGUAGGGAAUCUUCGGCAAUGGACGGAAGUCUGACCGAGCGAUGCCGCGUGAGCGAAGAAGGUCUUCGGAUUGUAAAGCUCUGUGAUUAGGGAAGAAGGCUAUUAGGAGGGAAUGCCUAAUAGGUGACGGUACCUAAUUAGAAAGCCACGGCUAACUACGUGCCAGCAGCCGCGGUAAUACGUAGGUGGCGAGCGUUGUCCGGAAUUACUGGGCGUAAAGGGUGCGUAGGCGGUCCAUUAAGUCUGAUUUGAAAUACCAUGGCUCAACCAUGGGGGUGGAUUGGAAACUGGUGGACUUGAGCGUAGGAGAGGAAGGUGGAAUUCCAUGUGUAGCGGUGAAAUGCGUAGAGAUGUGGAGGAACACCAGUGGCGAAGGCGGCCUUCUGGCCUAUCGCUGACGCUGAGGCACGAAAGCGUGGGGAGCAAACAGGAUUAGAUACCCUGGUAGUCCACGCCGUAAACGAUGAGUACUAAGUGUCGGGGGUUAACUCUCGGUGCUGAAGUAAACACAUUAAGUACUCCGCCUGGGGAGUACGGUCGCAAGACUGA
This 873-nucleotide ribosomal RNA is filed under the name uncultured Bacillota bacterium. Its description in RNAcentral is "bacterial SSU rRNA". It matches the Rfam family "Bacterial small subunit ribosomal RNA", at positions 28 to 897 of the family's 1533-position model. The record is from RNAcentral. Lineage: Bacteria; Bacillati; Bacillota.